UACGAAGGGGGCUAGCGUUGCUCGGAAUUACUGGGCGUAAAGGGCGCGUAGGCGGAUAUUUAAGUUGGGGGUGAAAUCCCGGGGCUCAACCUCGGAAUUGCCUUCAAAACUGGAUAUCUUGAGUUCGGGAGAGGUGAGUGGAACUCCGAGUGUAGAGGUGAAAUUCGUAGAUAUUAGGAAGAACACCAGUGGCGAAGGCGGCUCACUGGCCCGGUACUGACGCUCAUGUGCGAAAGCGUGGGGAGCAAACAGG
Molecule: ribosomal RNA, 253 nt
Filed under: uncultured bacterium
Lineage: Bacteria
Description: partial 16S ribosomal RNA
Rfam family: Bacterial small subunit ribosomal RNA
Source: RNAcentral